GCCGGGGGGGCUACCAUGCAGUCGAGGGGUAUAAGGAGCUUGCUCCUUAGAGACCGGCGCACGGGUGCGUAACGCGUAUGCAAUCUACCUUAUGCAGGGGAAUAGCCCGAAGAAAUUUGGAUUAAUGCCCCAUGGUAUAUAGAAUGGGCAUCUGUUUUAUAUUAAAGCUGAGGCGGCAUAAGAUGAGCAUGCGUCCCAUUAGCUAGUUGGUAUGGUAACGGCAUACCAAGGCAACGAUGGGUAGGGGUCCUGAGAGGGAGAUCCCCCACACUGGUACUGAGACACGGACCAGACUCCUACGGGAGGCAGCAGUGAGGAAUAUUGGACAAUGGUCGGGAGACUGAUCCAGCCAUGCCGCGUGCAGGAAGACUGCCCUAUGGGUUGUAAACUGCUUUUCUACGAGAAGAAUAAGAGGUACGUGUACCUUGAUGACGGUAUCGUAGGAAUAAGCACCGGCUAACUCCGUGCCAGCAGCCGCGGUAAUACGGAGGGUGCAAGCGUUAUCCGGAAUCAUUGGGUUUAAAGGGUCCGUAGGCGGGCUGUUAAGUCAGGGGUGAAAGUUUGCCGCUUAACGGUAAAAUUGCCUUUGAUACUGGCGGUCUUGAAUGUGUGUGAAGUGAUUAGAAUAUGUAGUGUAGCGGUGAAAUGCAUAGAUAUUACAUAGAAUACCGAUUGCGAAGGCAGGUCACUAACACAUUAUUGACGCUGAUGGACGAAAGCGUGGGUAGCGAACAGGAUUAGAUACCCUGGUAGUCCACGCCGUAAACGAUGGAUACUAGCUGUUGGGGUGCAAACCUCAGUGGCUAAGCGAAAGUG
This 816-nucleotide ribosomal RNA is filed under the name Sinomicrobium sp. Its description in RNAcentral is "bacterial SSU rRNA". It matches the Rfam family "Bacterial small subunit ribosomal RNA", at positions 38 to 859 of the family's 1533-position model. The record is from RNAcentral. Lineage: Bacteria; Pseudomonadati; Bacteroidota; Flavobacteriia; Flavobacteriales; Flavobacteriaceae.